RNAcentral lists this ribosomal RNA (211 nucleotides) under uncultured Eubacteriales bacterium. RNAcentral's name for it is "uncultured Clostridiales bacterium partial 16S ribosomal RNA". It matches the Rfam family "Bacterial small subunit ribosomal RNA", at positions 939 to 1154 of the family's 1533-position model. The record is from RNAcentral. Lineage: Bacteria; Bacillati; Bacillota; Clostridia; Eubacteriales.
AUGUGGUUUAAUUCGAAGCAACGCGAAGAACCUUACCAGGGCUUGACAUCCCGAGGCCCGGACUAGAGAUAGUCCUUUCUCUUCGGAGACCUCGGUGACAGGUGGUGCAUGGUUGUCGUCAGCUCGUGUCGUGAGAUGUUGGGUUAAGUCCCGCAACGAGCGCAACCCUUAUUGUUAGUUGCUACGCAAGAGCACUCUAGCGAGACUGCCG